RNAcentral lists this ribosomal RNA (463 nucleotides) under uncultured bacterium. RNAcentral's name for it is "SSU rRNA". It matches the Rfam family "Bacterial small subunit ribosomal RNA", at positions 26 to 518 of the family's 1533-position model. The record is from RNAcentral.
AGAAUCAACGCUGGCGGCGUGCCUAACACAUGCAAGUCGAACGAGAAAGUGGAGCAAUCCAUGAGUAAAGUGGCGCACGGGUGAGUAACACGUGACUAACCUACCCUUGAGUGGGGAAUAACUUCGGGAAACCGAGGCUAAUACCGCAUAACACCUACGGGUCAAAGGAGCAAUUCGCUUAAGGAGGGGGUCGCGGCAGAUUAGUUAGUUGGCGGGGUAAUGGCCCACCAAGACAGUGAUCUGUAUCCGGCCUGAGAGGGCGCGACGGAACGACGACUAGGAACGUGAACACGGUCCAGACUCCUACGGGAGGCAGCAGUGGGAAUUUGCGCAAUGGGGGAAACCCUGACGCAGCAACGCCGCGUGGAGGAUGAAGUCUCUUGGGACGUAAACUCCUUUCGAUCGGGACGAUAAUGACGGUACCGAGAGAAGAAGCCCCGGCUAACUUCGUGCCAGCAGCCGC